GUGAGGAAUAUUGCGCAAUGGAGGCAACUCUGACGCAGCCAUGCCGCGUGCAGGAAGAAGGCGCUACGCGUUGUAAACUGCUUUUAACCGGGAAGAAACCCCAGGACGUGUCCUGGGUUGACGGUACCGGAGGAAUAAGCACCGGCUAACUUCGUGCCAGCAGCCGCGAUAAUACGAAGGGUGCAAGCGUUAUCCGGAUUCAUUGGGUUUAAAGGGUGCGUAGGCGGAGCGUUAAGUCAGUGGUGAAAUCCUGCAGCUUAACUGUAGACUUGCCAUUGAUACUGGCGCUCUUGAGUGCGCUUGAAGUGGGCGGAAUGUGCCGUGUAGCGGUGAAAUGCUUAGAUAUGGCACAGAACACCAAUUGCGAAGGCAGCUCACUAAGGCGAUACUGACGCUGAGGCACGAAAGCGUGGGGAUCGAACAGGAUUAGAUACCCGGGUAGUCC
This 445-nucleotide ribosomal RNA is filed under the name uncultured bacterium. RNAcentral's name for it is "bacterial SSU rRNA". It matches the Rfam family "Bacterial small subunit ribosomal RNA", at positions 354 to 796 of the family's 1533-position model. The record is from RNAcentral.